RNAcentral lists this ribosomal RNA (301 nucleotides) under Trypanosoma sp. MELE01. RNAcentral describes it as "partial 18S ribosomal RNA". It matches the Rfam family "Eukaryotic small subunit ribosomal RNA", at positions 320 to 613 of the family's 1831-position model. The record is from RNAcentral. Lineage: Eukaryota; Euglenozoa; Kinetoplastea; Trypanosomatida; Trypanosomatidae.
CAGCGAUGGCCGUGUAGUGGACUGCCAUGGCGUUGACGGGAGCGGGGGAUUAGGGUUCGAUUCCGGAGAGGGAGCCUGAGAAAUAGCUACCACUUCUACGGAGGGCAGCAGGCGCGCAAAUUGCCCAAUGUCAAAAAAAAACGAUGAGGCAGCGAAAAGAAAUAGAGCCGAGAGCGCCUUUGGCGUUGUCGUUUUCAAUGGGGGAUAUUUAAACCCAUCCAAAAUCGAGUAACAAUUGGAGGACAAGUCUGGUGCCAGCACCCGCGGUAAUUCCAGCUCCAAAAGCGUAUAUUAAUGCUGU